UUCUUUUAUCUGAACUCUUGACCAUUUCUUUCCUGUGAGAUGCAGGGGAUGGAAACGAAACUAAACAGUGCCUGUGGUCGCCUAGUAGGACAAGGCACCCCCAGGAGCAGAACCACAUGGCAGAGACUAAAGAGGAGGAAAUGAGCAGUGGCUGGUGGCUCCAGAAGCUGAAGCCCUGGACAGCUGACUUCCCAUUAAAAUGGAUGCCAUCCUACCUUGUCUCCUCGCCAUCCUCCCAUCCCUUCAUCCCAUGACCUGUACCCUCCUCUCACCCCACUAUGUGCCGUGCCGCACUCCCCAUGGGCUGGCUGGGCUGGCUGGCUGACUCCUGGGGAGCUGUGUUGAAAUAGGAGUUGUGCCUGCUGUAUCUUUUUGUGUGGAAAGAUUGGGUCCAUCCAGAUCUCAAGUCCAUCCCCACCCCUCUAAGUGAAGCUGGGAUAAAUAGCUGGUCAGCUCAGACUUCAGACAUCUAAAAUAUUCCAGCAUCGGUUCCCAAACCCUGCCUUCCUUCCCUACCCUUCUGGGUGAAAAACAGAGGGAAUGUGUAUCUCCCCUCUUUCUCCCUUCUCUACAUGUGUGACCACCGUUAAUAGUCUCUCUAGAUUGCUCUGACCCUUGGAGAACCAGGGCCAAAGCAAUCCUCUUUCCCCUACAUGGCCAGGCUGGGUGCCUUCCAGUGACCAAGGGCAAAGAGUAUGUCACCAGGAUCAGAGGGGUGAGGGAAAAACCACCCUAAAAGGGCAAAAACUGUGUGCAUUGUUUUCUUUAUUGCCUUGCUUAUUGUUUGAUCGAUUUAUUACACAGCGAAAAUCUACUUCCAUUUUUGAAGCAUCCAGCCCCAGAAUUUGUCUUCUUGACCCCCAGGGCACAGUGAAUUAGUCCUCUUUGAAGUCACAGAAGACGGGGAAAAUUCUCUCCCUUUGCCCAAACAGCUCCCCUUCACACAGAUUUUCAAUCAGAAGUGGGGUUAGAAACUACCAGUGAGUGAGGCUGUAAAGCCACACAAAUCAGCAGAGGCUCGACUAUCCCACAGAAGCUCUCAGAACCCUCCCGCCUCCCCUACCCCUUCGCACCAGCCCUCCCCCUCUCCUCCUUCGUGUGCAUGGUGGGGAUGGGCCAGUCAGCUCCAGCCUCACCAUCUCAGAACUAGACUUCUCAUUUGCUGUGGUGCUGUCUUUUCAACUAACACCACGUGCAUGUUAGAGACACGUGAGGAGCUUACCAAAAAACCCAUGCUUGGUCCCCUCCCUGAAUCAUUCCAGCAGAAUCUGUGGGGUUAGAGCCUGGCACUGCUGUUUUUAAAAAGUCACCCAGAGGAUUCUACUAUGAGACUUGGGUUGAGAAGCCCUUCUAGUGUCUUCUCUCCUUUGCCCCUCCUCAAAGCCACGUCCUUCUUCCCCUAUUUCCCAAGCUUUCUUUGGCACCAAGAAUAAGAAAAGGCCAUUGAGGAAUUAUGACUUCUCUCCCCAGUCCUCCAGCCCUGAACCUUCCAUCUCUGCCCCUUCCCACAGAACCUUCCACAUUAGGUCAACCUACCUGAGCAGAUCCCUGGAGGGCUAGUGGGUCCCACCAGUUCUACCUGGAGACUGGUGCCUGCACCCAGCCUGGGGGCUGCUCUCAGGUGACUUCUAGCUGUCCUUGGAGCAGAAACUUACCUUUGCCAUAUUCCCUAGCCAUUUGCCCUUCCCCCAGGCUCCCAAACUCCAACGUUGGAGACAUUUGGGUCUCCAAAUCCCAAUCCAGGUGGGAAGGCCCAUACCCAGUCUUAAUAACCCAAGCCUUGGCCAUUUCUGCAGAGCCACCUGAAUUGAUUGAAGGUUCACUGAUACAGAGGAAGGAGUCACAUUGUCCCAAGCCAGUCCUUUCCCCAAAAAUCGGACUGCAUCCAAAUCCCAGACAGCUAAGAAGAAACACCACACUUACAAGGUUUCCACUGCUGAGUGUGAGUAAAUGUGUGUGUGAAUGUGGUGUGUGUGUGUGUGUACACAUGGGCACACAAUAUAUAAACCUUAGAGAUGCUUAACUAUAUACUAAGUUCAUAAUGGGCCCAAGUGAAUUCUGUAUUAGAUAUAUACACAGAAUGUUGUAACAUCUACAAACUGUUAGACACCCUCCCCCAAACAUACACUCACACACACACACACACACACACACACACACACACACACACACACAACCUAAGGAAACCUGCAAUGUGGGAAGAGUUUUUUGCUACCCUAUCUCCCCCAUCUGAGUAGCCUCCCAGGGCAAUUAUUAUGUCACCCACACUCCCAGCUGCCCAGCCUGUCCCCCUCUCUGCCCCCCACCCCCUGCCGCCCUAUCCCACAUUGCCAAGCCUUCUUUCCCCAUUAGUCAGAAUGUCCCUGCCCUAAGUCCCAGCUCUCAGGGUCCUGCUCUCUGGUAGGUGACAGACAGUUUAGUCAGGGGGUGCUAAAGAGUUGAGCGGUACCCCUCCCGGGUGGCAUUUAUGUCUUAAUAGGGGCUACAGAUAAUGCCUUAAUCCAAAGGAGUGGCUCUAAUAGUGGGAAUUUCAGGCACAGUAGUGGGCCAGUAAGGGAGAUUAUUUUUGUAUCAGAGGGGGGCUUUUCGGAAGCCCCCAUCAUACCUAUCUCUAAAAAUCAAACCUUCAUUAGUGCAUAAGCACAAGCAAGCACACUUAAAUUAUAUACAUUUUCCACAGUUUUGAGACACCUCCCUUCUAUUGGCCCUAUCUUUAAAAAUGGGGGAAAAAAAAGAUUAAUUUAAAUCUCACUGGGAAAUGUAGCCUAUUUUUCACUGGCUUCCAGCCAUCUGGCCCACCCGACCCUGUUCCAUUCCCUUUCUGCUCCUUCUCUUUUCAACUAUCAUCACAUCAGUUCAUUGACGUGUGUCCUCUCUGUACCCUCCUUACCCACCUUCCUCCAUGUACUUCCUCCCUUUCCUGUUCCCCCAGCGGGAAUUGUGCUGUUUUUCAGUGUCGUCAGGACAAAGAGCAGGUUAAAAGCAUGAGCAUGCGUAUGUCACUUUGAAGAAAGAGAACCCAGGUAUUCUGCUACAGUUUGGAGCAAACCCCCAUGAAGGAAGAGAUGAAAGCUGGCUCUGCAGAGUGCCUUAAAAAUGACUUUAUUUAGGAAAUUCUGAGUCGUCAGUCUUUGGAUGUUACAUGAACAGAUGUUGCAUUUCACUUCUCUGGGAUUAAAAAAAAAA
This 3186-nucleotide long non-coding RNA is filed under the name Sus scrofa (pig). RNAcentral's name for it is "lncRNA (ENSSSCG00055008398.1)". The record is from RNAcentral. Lineage: Eukaryota; Metazoa; Chordata; Mammalia; Artiodactyla; Suidae.